RNAcentral lists this ribosomal RNA (497 nucleotides) under uncultured bacterium. RNAcentral's name for it is "partial 16S ribosomal RNA". It matches the Rfam family "Bacterial small subunit ribosomal RNA", at positions 28 to 507 of the family's 1533-position model. The record is from RNAcentral.
GAUGAACGCUGGCGGCGUGCCUAAUACAUGCAAGUCGAGCGAACAGACGAGGAGCUUGCUCCUCUGACGUUAGCGGCGGACGGGUGAGUAACACGUGGAUAACCUACCUAUAAGACUGGGAUAACUUCGGGAAACAGGAGCUAAUACCGGAUAACAUGUUGAACCGCAUGGUUCAACAGUGAAAGACGGUCUUGCUGUCACUUAUAGAUGGAUCCGCGCCGCAUUAGCUAGUUGGUAAGGUAACGGCUUACCAAGGCAACGAUGCGUAGCCGACCUGAGAGGGUGAUCGGCCACACUGGAACUGAGACACGGUCCAGACUCCUACGGGAGGCAGCAGUAGGGAAUCUUCCGCAAUGGGCGAAAGCCUGACGGAGCAACGCCGCGUGAGUGAAGAAGGUCUUCGGAUCGUAAAACUCUGUUAUUAGGGAAGAACAAAUGUGUAAGUAACUAUGCACGUCUUGACGGUACCUAAUCAGAAAGCCACGGCUAACUACGUG